Molecule: unclassified non-coding RNA, 225 nt
Filed under: Hevea brasiliensis (rubber tree)
Lineage: Eukaryota; Viridiplantae; Streptophyta; Magnoliopsida; Malpighiales; Euphorbiaceae
Source: RNAcentral
AAAAAAAAAAAAAAAUCUAUCUAACCCUUUCUGCUAUACCUCCACUAUAUUACAUGCAAUAUAUAUAGUGUAAUUGCACCAUAUAGUAUAUGUCUGCUUAGUGGAUAUAUCUAUAUAUAUAGUGUGCACUUCUUGAUUUUUCUUGUUUAGUGGUAUUUUUGUUUGGAUUGAUGCUAGCUGUGGCAAACCUGCCAAACACCACCACCACCACCACCAAAGAUGAGA